This 501-nucleotide ribosomal RNA is filed under the name uncultured bacterium. RNAcentral's name for it is "bacterial SSU rRNA". It matches the Rfam family "Bacterial small subunit ribosomal RNA", at positions 903 to 1397 of the family's 1533-position model. The record is from RNAcentral.
AAAUGAAUUGACGGGGGCCCGCACAAGCGGUGGAGCAUGUGGUUUAAUACGUCACUAACCGUAGAACCUUACCCAGACUUGACAUCCGUUGUAAGUCCGUGAAAGCGGUACCCUCCUAUGGUAACAUAGGACAGCGAGACAGGUGUUGCAUGGCUGUCGUCAGCUCGUGUCGUGAGAUGUUGGGUUAAGUCCCGCAACGAGCGCAACCCUCAUCCGAUGUUGCCAGCGUAAAGUCGGGAACUCUUCGGAAACUGCCCGUGCAAGCGGGAGGAAGGUGGGGAUGACGUCAAGUCAGCAUGGCCCUUACGUCUGGGGCUACACACAUGCUACAAUGGACGUGAACAAAGGGCAGCGAAAUCGCGAGAUGGAGCUAAUCUCAAAAAUACGUCCUCAGUUCGGAUUGCAGUCUGCAACUCGACUGCAUGAAGUCGGAAUCGCUAGUAACCGCAGGUCAGCUAAACUGCGGUGAAUACGUUCCCGGGCCUUGUACACACCGCCCGU